Molecule: long non-coding RNA, 963 nt
Filed under: Rosa chinensis
Lineage: Eukaryota; Viridiplantae; Streptophyta; Magnoliopsida; Rosales; Rosaceae
Description: sRNA RchiOBHm_Chr2g0138991
Source: RNAcentral
UUCUCCUUAAAAACUUCGAUGUUCUUGCUGGGCCUGUGGUUAGUUUGGUUUAGCCACUGUAUGCCUCAAUUCGGGUUAUAGAGACCAAAUCACCAACUGAUGAUCGCCAAUGGCUUAUGUAUUGGAUUCUCUACUUUAUGAUUACACUCUUUGAGCUCACUUUUGCCAAACUUAUUGAGUGAUCAUAAUACAUGCCUGAUUGGAGAAGACGAGCACUGCUACAGUGACAAUCAUGUGUCAAACAUUGAAGGUGGUUGCUAUGCUAAGUGCAUUGAUUUGUCAAAAGACAAGCAACCAGAUAUUUGGAAUUCUAUCAAAUUUGAGACUGGCCAAAUAAAGGAGGUCCUUCUAAGCUACACUCAAAGUUCAUUUGAUUAACCCUUCAGUCAAGAUCCGCCUUCUUUUGGCUAUCAGUUAAGACAUAGGAGAGGAAAAUCAGAAACUACUCGACAUUCUUUAUCUCUGGGCAUGCUGUGGCUCGACACUCUGCAGAGGGCAUCACAAAGAACCUGUGGGUUGCAAUCCUGCAACUGCUUCUUUAUCAGCUUAUUUCGCCUGAUUUUGUCAACCCAUUAUCCAAUCUUUUCUUAAGGCUUCCUUUUUCCCGAAGUGUUACAGAGAGGGAUUAAAAACAACUAUUAAAGGGUGAGGGUUCGAUGUUUGGAAUCAAUGUGGACAUCGAUUCACAAUUUGGGAAACGAUAUCUGGAAUCAAUGUGGACAUCGAUUCACAAUUUGGGAAACGAUGCCUGGAAUCAAUGUGGACAUCAAUUCACAAUUUGGGAAACGAUGUCCACAAUCAAUUUAGACAUCGAUUUACAAUUUGGGAAACGAUGUCUAAUAGUAAAAUGGACAUCGCUCCAUAAAAGGAAACGAUGUUUAUUAUAAUAAUGCACAUCGUUUAUUAUAUACUAAGGAAUAUAGAUUGAAUCUUAAAUAGUAGGAUAUAUGGAAAAUAUGUGUG